GAUGAAGAACGUAGCGAAAUGCGAUAAGUAAUGUGAAUUGCAGAAUUCAGUGAAUCAUCGAAUCUUUGAACGCACAUUGCGCCCCUUGGUAUUCCGGGGGGCAUGCCUGUUCGAGCGUCAUUAUCACCCCUCAAGCUCAGCUUGGUGUUGGGGCCUGCCGUCAAGGCAGCCCUUAAAAUCAGUGGCGGCGCCAUCUGGCUCUAAGCGUAGUAAUUCUUCUCGCUGUUGGGUCACGGUGGUCGCCCGCCAGCAACCCCCAAUUUUUACAGUUUGACCUGGGAUGAGGUAGGGAUACCCGCUGAACUUAAGCAUAUCAAUAAGCGGAGGA
Molecule: unclassified non-coding RNA, 328 nt
Filed under: soil metagenome
Description: partial contains 5.8S ribosomal RNA, internal transcribed spacer 2, and large subunit ribosomal RNA
Rfam family: 5.8S ribosomal RNA (bases 1-120)
Source: RNAcentral